AUGGUCCUUAAGCUUGACUUCAGAAAGGCAUUCGAUUCAAUCUCCUGGAUAUCCUUAAUUAAAAUUCUUCCGCGUCGUGGCUUCCCAACCCGCUUCUAUAAUUGGGUUGAUGACCUACUCACCUCCGAAAAAACUGCUAUCUCUCUCAAGGGUAUCCCUGGU
RNAcentral lists this ribosomal RNA (162 nucleotides) under Triticum aestivum (bread wheat). RNAcentral's name for it is "partial small subunit ribosomal RNA". The record is from RNAcentral. Lineage: Eukaryota; Viridiplantae; Streptophyta; Magnoliopsida; Poales; Poaceae.